UGCUACAGAGAAAGGAGAAGGGGAGGGAGGGGGUAGCAGGCUUGGUAUAUGAGUGAGAGAGAGAGAGAGAGAGAGAGAGAGAGAGAGGUACGUCUACUAGUAUACUACUAACUAAAGUAAAUAAGUAAGUGUUACGUAGUAGUAGUGUGUCGUCGUUCGUUACGUUACGUACUACAACGNNNNNNNNNNNNNNNNNNNNNNNNNNNNNNNNNNNNNNNNNNNNNNNNNNNNNNGACGUAGUACGUACGUACGUAGAGUACGUAGUAGGUAGGUAGUAGGUAGGUAGGUAGGUAGGUAGGAGGUAGGUAGGUAGUAGGAGUAGUAGUAGUAGAGAGAGAGAGAGAGAGAGAGAGAGAGAGAGAGAGAGAGAGAGAGAGGUCUUCACUUGAAUCAAUCAACUAAAGAUAAAUGUGUUCAAGUGAUGUGCUCGUCUUUGGAACUCACAAAUGGUUCUAUAGCAAACUUUUAAAACCUAAGCUACCAGCUUAAAUGAAAAACUUUCAGAGAUUUAGGGGGCUUUUAGAAUUAUUGAUUUUAAAAUGCAGAAUACCAGAGCCAGGCUUUUCCCCUCUUCUGCAGUAAUUUGGAUGCAGUCCAACUUUUGUAAUUUUUGCGUACACGAGGCCUUCAUUGUCACCAGCCCAUAUUUUUUGCUUGGUGGGCUACUUUGAAUUGAUGUAUAGUGCACCCAUUUUGGGGUGAAUUUUGUAUUUAAAUUCAUGUAAAUUCAAUACAAGUUAACUUUCUCAAAAAAAAAAGGCGGCGGCAGAAUAUCAAAGCCAUUUGCAGGAUACUAAAACAUUGUGGAAUGUCAUUUCAAGUGAUAAUGUCAAGACCGUGCCUGAAUUGUCAACAUCAUCAGGGAUACAACCAUAUGUCCUGGAACACUGUUUUAAGGCUCAGACUCAAAUCUGGAACUUGACAGGGCUCAAUCAGAGUCAGCGAGUCAGACUCGCCCAUGUUUUCAAGAAACAACUAUAGAAAACCGUAGGAACCAGUGAGACUCAGCCAGUUUCCAAGGUUUCUUACUCACGCUGACCACCAUGCCUGGUCUGAAUAUCUCGACUGAGUCCGAGUCAGGCUCAGCGAGUUUUAAAACACUGCUUCUAAAGAUGGACUCUUAAAC
RNAcentral lists this long non-coding RNA (1126 nucleotides) under Amborella trichopoda. RNAcentral's name for it is "long non-coding RNA (ATRI_LNC001332)". The record is from RNAcentral. Lineage: Eukaryota; Viridiplantae; Streptophyta; Magnoliopsida; Amborellales; Amborellaceae.